This 468-nucleotide ribosomal RNA is filed under the name uncultured bacterium. RNAcentral's name for it is "partial 16S ribosomal RNA". It matches the Rfam family "Bacterial small subunit ribosomal RNA", at positions 28 to 507 of the family's 1533-position model. The record is from RNAcentral.
GACGAACGCUGGCGGCGUGCUUAACACAUGCAAGUCGAACGGAAAGGCCCUGCUUUUGUGGGGUGCUCGAGUGGCGAACGGGUGAGUAACACGUGAGUAACCUGCCCUUGACUUUGGGAUAACUUCAGGAAACUGGGGCUAAUACCGGAUAGGAGCUCCUGCUCCUUGUUGUGGGUUGGAAAUUUUCGGCGGUUGGGGAUGGUCUCGCGGCUUACCAGCUUGUUGGUGGGGUAGUGCCUGACCAAGGCUUUGACGGGUAGCCGGCCUGAGAGGGUUACCGGCCACAUUGGGACUGAGAGACGGACCAGACGCCUACGGGAGGCAGCAGUGGGGAAUAUGGCACAAUGGGCGGAAGCCUGAUGCAGCAACGCCGCGUGCGGGAUGACGGCCUUCGGGUUGUAAACCGCUGUCGCCGGUGACGAAGAGUGAGUGACGGUAAUGGGUAAAGAAGCACCGGCUAACUACGUG